This 1492-nucleotide ribosomal RNA is filed under the name Helicobacter pylori PMSS1. RNAcentral's name for it is "bacterial SSU rRNA". It matches the Rfam family "Bacterial small subunit ribosomal RNA". The record is from RNAcentral. Lineage: Bacteria; Pseudomonadati; Campylobacterota; Epsilonproteobacteria; Campylobacterales; Helicobacteraceae.
AGAGUUUGAUCCUGGCUCAGAGUGAACGCUGGCGGCGUGCCUAAUACAUGCAAGUCGAACGAUGAAGCUUCUAGCUUGCUAGAGUGCUGAUUAGUGGCGCACGGGUGAGUAACGCAUAGGUUAUGUGCCUCUUAGUUUGGGAUAGCCAUUGGAAACGAUGAUUAAUACCAGAUACUCCCUACGGGGGAAAGAUUUAUCGCUAAGAGAUCAGCCUAUGUCCUAUCAGCUUGUUGGUAAGGUAAUGGCUUACCAAGGCUAUGACGGGUAUCCGGCCUGAGAGGGUGAACGGACACACUGGAACUGAGACACGGUCCAGACUCCUACGGGAGGCAGCAGUAGGGAAUAUUGCUCAAUGGGGGAAACCCUGAAGCAGCAACGCCGCGUGGAGGAUGAAGGUUUUAGGAUUGUAAACUCCUUUUGUUAGAGAAGAUAAUGACGGUAUCUAACGAAUAAGCACCGGCUAACUCCGUGCCAGCAGCCGCGGUAAUACGGAGGGUGCAAGCGUUACUCGGAAUCACUGGGCGUAAAGAGCGCGUAGGCGGGAUAGUCAGUCAGGUGUGAAAUCCUAUGGCUUAACCAUAGAACUGCAUUUGAAACUACUAUUCUAGAGUGUGGGAGAGGUAGGUGGAAUUCUUGGUGUAGGGGUAAAAUCCGUAGAGAUCAAGAGGAAUACUCAUUGCGAAGGCGACCUGCUGGAACAUUACUGACGCUGAUUGCGCGAAAGCGUGGGGAGCAAACAGGAUUAGAUACCCUGGUAGUCCACGCCCUAAACGAUGGAUGCUAGUUGUUGGAGGGCUUAGUCUCUCCAGUAAUGCAGCUAACGCAUUAAGCAUCCCGCCUGGGGAGUACGGUCGCAAGAUUAAAACUCAAAGGAAUAGACGGGGACCCGCACAAGCGGUGGAGCAUGUGGUUUAAUUCGAAGAUACACGAAGAACCUUACCUAGGCUUGACAUUGAGAGAAUCCGCUAGAAAUAGUGGAGUGUCUGGCUUGCUAGACCUUGAAAACAGGUGCUGCACGGCUGUCGUCAGCUCGUGUCGUGAGAUGUUGGGUUAAGUCCCGCAACGAGCGCAACCCCCUUUCUUAGUUGCUAACAGGUCAUGCUGAGAACUCUAAGGAUACUGCCUCCGUAAGGAGGAGGAAGGUGGGGACGACGUCAAGUCAUCAUGGCCCUUACGCCUAGGGCUACACACGUGCUACAAUGGGGUGCACAAAGAGAAGCAAUACUGCGAAGUGGAGCCAAUCUUCAAAACACCUCUCAGUUCGGAUUGUAGGCUGCAACUCGCCUGCAUGAAGCUGGAAUCGCUAGUAAUCGCAAAUCAGCCAUGUUGCGGUGAAUACGUUCCCGGGUCUUGUACUCACCGCCCGUCACACCAUGGGAGUUGUGUUUGCCUUAAGUCAGGAUGCUAAAUUAGCUACUGCCCACGGCACACACAGCGACUGGGGUGAAGUCGUAACAAGGUAACCGUAGGUGAACCUGCGGUUGGAUCACCU